RNAcentral lists this ribosomal RNA (421 nucleotides) under uncultured bacterium. RNAcentral describes it as "bacterial SSU rRNA". It matches the Rfam family "Bacterial small subunit ribosomal RNA", at positions 355 to 773 of the family's 1533-position model. The record is from RNAcentral.
UGAGGAAUAUUGGGCAAUGCCCGAAAGGGUGACCCAGCAACGCCGCGUGGAGGAUGAAGGUCGUAAGAUUGUAAACUCCUGUUAGAGGGGAAGAAUAACUAAGUUUGGAGCUUAGUAUGACUGUACCCUCAGAGAAAGCCCCGGCUAACUACGUGCCAGCAGCCGCGGUAAUACGUAGGGGGCAAGCGUUGUCCGGAUUUACUGGGUGUAAAGGGCGCGCAGGCGGAAUGGAAGGUCAGUGGUGAAAUCCUACAGCUUAACUGUAGAACUGCCUUUGAUACUUUCAUUCUUGAGUUCGGGAGAGAGAGACGGAAUUCCAGGUGUAGUGGUGAAAUACGUAGAUAUCUGGAAGAACACCAGUUGCGAAGGCGGUCUCUUGGUCCGAUACUGACGCUGAGGCGCGAAAGCGUGGGGAGCAAAC